Molecule: long non-coding RNA, 1846 nt
Organism: Malurus melanocephalus (red-backed fairy wren)
Lineage: Eukaryota; Metazoa; Chordata; Aves; Passeriformes; Maluridae
Exons: 4
Source: RefSeq, a predicted model, not a curated record
GAACAGUGAACUUCCUCAGACACCUGCUACUUCCCUCUUUGGGUUUGAGCUGGUACUGGCUGGUUUUGUACAGCAGGUGCUGUGAGCAAAGCAGGCUGACAAACUCGAAAUACAACUCUGCAAAGCAGUGAGUAUUGCUGCAGUCARCACUAAUUGUGGGCAGGAAGGUGGGUGGGCAGGUCAGUUACCCCAGCUGGAUGGUCUGGACCUGUGUAAGUCCUCAGUGGGYUUACUUCAAUGUUUGCUCAGCACUGUUUGUUCCCUGAGUUCUGCCCACUGGAUUUCUGUUCCASUCCUUUAUCCCACACGUAUCUGGCCUUGUGUUCAAUCAGGGAGAAACAUCCCUCUUCAAAGGAAAAACUCAGGUCCGGGUCCCACCCCAAUCCUGUUUACACUKCUAAGGGCUUUGUCUACUUUAGUGAAGCUUGAGGACUGAAGCAAAAUGGAGACUGAACUAUAGGUAUGUUGAAGUAGCUGAAGGCAUCAGUUUAUAUCCAAUGCUCUUUCUGUGACAGGAUCUCUACUGACAUGUACCAAGGAUGGUGGACUGAGAGGCCCUGAGCUACCCUCUAGUGCUCAGGUUUCCUCUGCCUUCAAGGAAAAGCCAAUCCUGAGAUUGAAGGGAAGAAAAGAAGGAUGCUGCCCCAGAUUCCUGCAGAAAAAGCAGUGGGUGAUGCACAGUGAGCUCGGAGGAUAGGCAUAGCUGGUCAUCGUGGGACAAUGUAGAGAAAGAGAAAUAUGGCUAAAUUUGAUGCAAAUCUGGUCGAGAAACUUGUGUUACUUGAUUGAAAAAUUAUAUGGAGUGCAAAGAUCCAUACAGUCAAUGAUGCAAGGUUAACUCGGGAACUGCGAGCAGUUCUGCAAAACUGAGGAUGAAAGAGUCACAUGUUUCUGUGCUGCUGGCUGUGCCCUGGGCAAUGACAAAGCCUGUGUUUCUGUAGGUAUGAAGCCRUAUUUAUCGUUCAUCCUGUGAGACACACAUCACAUCUGCACCACAUUUGGGAAGKGCUGCUGUGCUGCAGUGCCACUGUAGCUUGGAAAAUAAUGUUAAUUGUUCAAGCCUUUCACAUGGCUUACCGAGCUGUUGAUAAAAAAUUUGAUAAGACCUUAGGUAAAGGACAUAAUUUAAAUAACAUCAAAUUACGCAACUGUGAGGGAGCAAAAAUAGCUCAAGAAAGUAGUCUGUGCAAUUAGUUGUGUUAUCUCAGGGGACUGCAAAAAUCCAUGUCCCAGCAGGAGUAAAGCCAUAUCAGAAACUGAUUACAGUGGGGCUCAGAUUCCUCUUUUCCCRAAGGCACUGAAACCAGGCCCUUCAUUCUAUAGAGGAUUUUAUUAUAAAGUAACAGGUUAGAUUUAUGAUUGAUAGAAGUUGGUGUCUGUUUUCAAGGCCUCUGGGAUAUGCUGAACACCUACAGAUCCAAGAAGAGAAAUCCAAGAAACUUCUCCCUUUACAGUGCACAGUCCACAAGGAACCAUGAUAAUUUCAGUGGUAGUACCAUAAUGUGACUGCAGUUAUAUCUCACUUGUUUAUCCUCAAAUAUCACCUGUUCCAUCUSAAAGGAAUACAAUCUGCCUUUCUCUUUUCUUGUAACAACAGGUUUUCUUCAGUUAACACGUGGUACCCUAAAAAUGCUAAUAACUACUGACAUGGAAUUAAAUUCCAUCAAUUUUGCUUUCAUUCAAAUUCAACAUGGACAGCAGCUGAUCUUUGUCUUGUUGGUUCAAAGAAAAUCCUUUCUUUUCAGAAAAUGGUGCCUUUUUAUGUUCUGAACUUUGGCGGGCUAAGCACCGAUUGGCAGUCUGCCCAUGCAGUGCUACCGCCCACAAACCUUCUUAUCCAAUCACA